RNAcentral lists this ribosomal RNA (438 nucleotides) under uncultured bacterium. RNAcentral's name for it is "partial 16S ribosomal RNA". It matches the Rfam family "Bacterial small subunit ribosomal RNA", at positions 29 to 508 of the family's 1533-position model. The record is from RNAcentral.
AGCGAACGCUGGCGGCAGGCUUAACACAUGCAAGUCGAGCGGGCAUCCUUGUGGUGUCAGCGGCAGACGGGUGAGUAACGCGUGGGAACGUGCCCUUCGGUUCGGAAUAACUCAGGGAAACUUGAGCUAAUACCGGAUACGUGCGAGAGCAGAAAGGUUUAUCUGCCGAAGGAUCGGCCCGCGUCUGAUUAGCUAGUUGGUGAGGUUAUGGCUCACCAAGGCGACGAUCAGUAGCUGGUCUGAGAGGAUGAUCAGCCACACUGGGACUGAGACACGGCCCAGACUCCUACGGGAGGCAGCAGUGGGGAAUAUUGGACAAUGGGGGCAACCCUGAUCCAGCCAUGCCGCGUGAGUGAGGACGGCCUUAGGGUUGUAAAGCUCUUUUCUCCGGGACGAUAAUGACGGGACCGGAGGAAUAAGCCCCGGCUAACUUCGUGC